AGCUUUGCGCAGUGGCGAUAUCGUAACCAAUGAGGUUUAACCGAGGUGCGAUUAUUGCUAGUUGAAAACUAAUACCAAAUACAUGAAGGGAGAGGGGUGUCAAUUUUGGGUAAUUUUUGCGUUACGUAAUUUAUAAA
Molecule: small nuclear RNA, 137 nt
Organism: Topomyia yanbarensis
Lineage: Eukaryota; Metazoa; Arthropoda; Insecta; Diptera; Culicidae
Product: U4 spliceosomal RNA
Exons: 1
Source: RefSeq, a predicted model, not a curated record